This 870-nucleotide ribosomal RNA is filed under the name uncultured bacterium. Its description in RNAcentral is "bacterial SSU rRNA". It matches the Rfam family "Bacterial small subunit ribosomal RNA", at positions 48 to 917 of the family's 1533-position model. The record is from RNAcentral.
CUUACACAUGCAGUCGAGCGGGGAAGGUAGCUUGCUACUGGACCUAGCGGCGGACGGGUGAGUAAUGCUUAGGAAUCUGCCUAUUAGUGGGGGACAACAUUCCGAAAGGAAUGCUAAUACCGCAUACGCCCUACGGGGGAAAGCAGGGGAUCUUCGGACCUUGCGCUAAUAGAUGAGCCUAAGUCGGAUUAGCUAGUUGGUGGGGUAAAGGCCUACCAAGGCGACGAUCUGUAGCGGGUCUGAGAGGAUGAUCCGCCACACUGGGACUGAGACACGGCCCAGACUCCUACGGGAGGCAGCAGUGGGGAAUAUUGGACAAUGGGCGGAAGCCUGAUCCAGCCAUGCCGCGUGUGUGAAGAAGGCCUUUUGGUUGUAAAGCACUUUAAGCGAGGAGGAGGCUCCUUUAGUUAAUACCUAAAGUGAGUGGACGUUACUCGCAGAAUAAGCACCGGCUAACUCUGUGCCAGCAGCCGCGGUAAUACAGAGGGUGCGAGCGUUAAUCGGAUUUACUGGGCGUAAAGCGUGCGUAGGCGGCUUUUUAAGUCGGAUGUGAAAUCCCUGAGCUUAACUUAGGAAUUGCAUUCGAUACUGGAAAGCUAGAGUACGGGAGAGGAUGGUAGAAUUCCAGGUGUAGCGGUGAAAUGCGUAGAGAUCUGGAGGAAUACCGAUGGCGAAAGCAGCCAUCUGGCCUAAUACUGACGCUGAGGUACGAAAGCAUGGGGAGCAAACAGGAUUAGAUACCCUGGUAGUCCAUGCCGUAAACGAUGUCUACUAGCCGUUGGGGCCUUUGAGCUUUAGUGCGCAGCUAACGCGAUAGUAGACCGGCCUGGGGAGUACGGUCGCAAGACUAAAACUCAAUGAAUUGACGGG